Canis lupus familiaris (dog) is the source of this 4820-nucleotide long non-coding RNA. RefSeq lists it as uncharacterized. The record is from RefSeq and is a predicted model, not a curated record. The transcript is spliced from 3 exons. NCBI's taxonomy places the organism in Eukaryota, Metazoa, Chordata, Mammalia, Carnivora, Canidae.
GGACGUGGGAGCACCUCUCUCUGCCCUGGGCCUUCUGUGGACAGAAUGGUCAAGAGCACAGGUAUCUGAGGUCCAGUCUGGCUGAUGGAGAUUUGAUCCACUCUCAUGAGCCACUGAAAGAAGGGAUGGAUGUGUCUUCCAACCUGUCUGGGAUUAGGAUGAGUGGGUUCAAAGGUUCUGGAAAGUGCUCUCUUUCUGUACUGUUUCUUCUCAUUCUUUUGGACUGGAAGUAUCUUUAAUGGACAGAAAUCUUCACGAAGCUAAAGUCUGCAGCAUGAGCCCUCUUGGAUCAGAAACACCAUGACACCAUCUGGGGUGGAGGUGGAGCACUGAGCUUCAGGAGAGAGAAGGGGCAGAGGAGGGUGGGCCGAGACACUGGUGGUGUGCAACACCUGCUUGCCAAGGACCGGUGCUGGGUUCUUUGUCACUAUCUGGGCUCUUUUUCUCUUCCACCAGACGAUCAUGCAUUUGGGAAGUUUUCUUAUGGGGGUUAUUAUGGACGAUGCUUCCACAAACGUUUCAUUAUUUGUUUUUGGAGAAUAUACGUUGGUGAUAUUCCUAAGAGAGCAACUAUGCUCAAGAUAAGAUCUUGAGAAAGGAGAAGUGAGGAGGAGAAAGAUAAUCACAAGAAAAUGGUCAACAUGUCUCAGAAAUUUCCCCCAAUUCCAUGCACAUCCUUCUCUAAGGCAUGGACUCUGACACCCGCAGGAGGCUCAUCGGUGUUCAAGGAGGUACUGGGUCCAGUCCUCAGAGCAGAACUAUGCCUCGUCCAUCAGGAAUUUACACUUUGUGUGUGUGUGUGUGGUUUUCCAUUCAUCUUUCCUGACCUCUUAAGCUUAAAGAAAAAGGCUCAUGUCCCACCAUUUUCUGGCUGCUCCUUCACAAGAGGCCUGUCUCAAAGGGAAGGCUUCCUGGAACUUUGGUUUUGAUGCCACAAAGAUUCAGUCUCUGCUGGGUUCCUACGUGGGGAACGCAGAAGACUCUGCACAUGCAGCCUCUCUGCUCACCCUCAUCCCUCUCCUGCCUGAAUGCCAGCCUCUCCUCCCCCAACUCCGUCCUCUCUCGCUCACUUCCCGCCCCUCAGCUCCUCUUGUCCUCACGCCAGCCACUGGCAGAGGCACAUCAAAGGUCCAAAGAGGGUGGGGAGGGAUUUUGAACAGGGAGACGUAAGGAAGCUGUGGGAGAGGCUGUGCAGCCUCUUCCAAUUGCCACAGCUCCCCCUCUGCGCGGGUGGAGGGCUCUGGGCUUUUCUUCCCAGCUCUGGGAUGUCAGGACGGUCUUGUGAACAGGGUUCUUGUGCUCAGUGCAUCGGGUAUCGCUGGUAGACUCUGAUAUACAGAAAGAUGAGCCCUGAUGCUGAAGGGGUGGGGACACCCCAUCCCUCUAUCUGCUCCGAGGAUGCGGGUAAGCGCAGGAGACAGAAGCUUAGGAAGUCUGGUGUCCUGCUACGUUGCUUUGUAUUUUUUCCAGGCUCUUGCUAUACGGUGCAUGGUUAUGCUGGAAAUUAGUUUGAGGGAAAACAGGAGGUGAGAGCCAGUGACAUCUUUUACUUUGGAUCUCUGGUAUUUUGUAAUCUCCCUGACUCCUCUGCCCCACUCUGACAACCUCACCAAACAAAAAUCAUAAUUUGAGCAUUGACUAAAAUGCUCUGGCACUAUGCUAGAAUUCUCUGUUUGCCAAAUACCAAAAUAUUUGCGACUUGCAUAAACUUCUCACAGCUCCCUAAUUAUAUCCUAUACACGAUGCCGGGGACCCAGAAGACAGGCAGCUGCUUUCCAGCUGCAGACACACCUGACGUAUUAAGAUCUCAAAGCAAAGCAGCUCAGAACAGAGGCUGAGUGGAACCCGCAGACCCUGAAAAGUAAAAGGCCCACAGAGAGGGGCAAGCACCUCAAGGAGGAGAGGACAGGUGAGGUUUUCUGGGAGAGAGGGUCAGGAGAAGGUCCCGAAGGACAGGUAGGUAGCAGAAGUGAAGCUUCCAAUGCAGGGGACAGCGGGAGCGACGGGAGCCAUGUCAUCAUCAACACCAUGUGACCACGGAACUGAAGGGACUUGGGAUCACCCUGAUUAUCUGUAGGAUGACAAGGCUGAGGUUGGGAUGGGAUAGGGCCUUGCCUGAGGUCGCAGGACGGAGAGGCCAGGACCCUGGAGUUACUUCCUUUGCUCAGAGGUGCUGUCUGCACACAGAGCUGCUGUAGGAUGGUGUCCCUCUGUGCCCUGGUGGCUCAGCCACCAGCCUCAUGGGUGCUUUUUUGCCUUAGGCUUGGCGCCGGAGGCAUUUUCCUCGUGCGUCUUUUCCUUAAACUGCCACCAGCCCAGGUAGCUUCCUGCCCGAGGCCUGGCCCUGCCCAUGUCAGCGCUGACGGACCCUGAAUCCGCGCCUCCAACCUGCGGUUCACAGAUGCAGAGACAGGCCAGGGAGGGUGGCAGCAGGGCUCUCCCAGGAGCGCAGGUCACCCUCCUGGGCCGCCAGGCGUCCUAGGAGGAGGGAAUGCCCCCAACCGCAGGGGACGCAGGGACAAGGGUGAAAAAGGUACAGAAGCCACACUCACUUUUGGAUAAUCGCGUACUCUGCCCCUACCUCUUGUCCGCCUCCCCUGAGUCAUGUCGAGGCCAAGGGUCCUCCUAGCGCUGCUGCCUCAGACCUAAAAGACCUUGGACUUUAUGCUGGACCCAUAGCCUGCAGGGGUGGCUGUACCCCGUGCUGGAGGCAGGGGUGAUGAGGAGGCAGGGGUGCUUGGGGGGCUCUGAGACAGGAACGGAGGGCUCAGGCCUCCUCUGAAGUGGGAGGAGCAACCCAUUUGAUCUUCCCUAUUUUACAGGAAAGGCUUGGCCCUGUCCCCUGGGAACCGGGUCGACAGGAAAUAACCAAGCUUAUGUUUGAGGAGGCACUGGUGUUUUUUCUCCGUGUUAACCGCUGGGCCGGCUGUCUUUCUUUUGAGAGUUUCAAACCGGGAAAGGCCUCCUAAAUGGAUCGGAAUUUAAAAGACCACAUGGAUGGGCCUAAAGACUGUUAUGCAAAGUGACAUAGUCAGACAGGAAAGACAAACACCAUAUGAUUUCCCUUAUAUGUAGAAUCUAAAAAACAAAGCAAAUGAACAAACAAAAUCUGAGACAAACCCAUAAAUGCAGAGAAUAAACUGGUGGCUGCUCGAGGGCAGGGGGAUGGGGGAAGGAGCGAAGUUGGUCAAAAAGAUGUGGAGGCAUAAACGUCCAGUUAGGAAAUAAAUCAGAGAUAAAAAGUACCGUGUAGGGGAUAGAGUCAAUAAUACUGUAAUAACUUUGCACAGUGACAAAGGGUGACUGUCCUCAGGCCGGCGAGUGCUGGGCAGUGUGGGGAAUCGUCAGAUCAGUGUGUUGUACACCUGAAGCCAAUAUAGCGCUGUAUGCGUCAACAACAAAAUGUAAAAUAUAAAAAAAUUAAAAAUAAAAGAGGACAUUCAUCCUGCCGCUUGUGACAACAUGGAUGAAAGUAGAGGCCAUUAUGCUAAGUGAGAUGAGGUGACCAGAGAAAGAUAAAGACCAUGUGGCAUCACUGAUAUGUGGGAUUGGAACCGGGAGCUGCCAGAUAGGCUCCUGGGAGGAGUAGGUCAGAAGAUACCAAAGGUAUACUUAAAAGGUGAGUAAGUUCUGAGGAAUUAAUUUUUUUUUAUUUAUGAUAGUCACACAGAGAGAGAGAGAGAGAGGCAGAGACACAGGCAGAGGGAGAAGCAGGCUCCAUGCACCAGGAGCCCGAUGUGGGAUUCGAUCCCGGGUCUCCAGGAUCAGGCCCUGGGCCAAAGGCGGCGCCAAACCGCUGCGCCACCCAGGGAUCCCAGUUCUGAGGAAUUAAUAUCAGCAUAGUGACUAAGUUAAUAAUAUGUCACAUAUCGAAAUUGGCUAAAAGAGUAAAUUUUAAGUAUUCUUAUCACAAACGCAAAGAACCACGUGAGGUGACGGAUGUGCUAGUUUUUCUUGAUUGAGGUGAUCAUUUCACAUGUACACGUAUGUCACACCAUGUUGUACACUUUGAAUAUAUGCGAUCUUAUCUGUCGCAAAAAAUGGAGGCGAUUUUAGAAAUGACAAUUCUUGGAAUUGCAAAAAAGGUUGAAGUGUUCAUAACUCAUCUGAAGGAUGACCAAGGAUGAGAGAGACUAAGAGUCAACCAGAGAAAGACAAUUAUCAUGGUUUCACUCACAUGUGGAAUUUAAGAAGGAAAGGAGAUGAUCACAGGGGAAGAGAGGGAAAAAUGAAACAGGAUGAAGUCAGAUGGAAAACCGUAAGACUCUUAAGAACAGGAACAACUGAGGGUAGUUGGAGGGGCGGCGGGUGGGGCUGGGGUCACUGCGGGCCGGGCAUGAAGGAGGGCACUCCCUGCACUGAGCACUGGGGGUUACCUGCAACCAGUGAAUAACUGACUCUACAUCUGAAACUACUGAUGCACCACGUGUUAACCAAUUAGAAAAUAAAUCAACAAAAAGUGUGUGAGCACAGUGGACGGGAGAUAGCGCGUGUGUGGAGGUGAGAGUGCGUACACGUGUAGGUGCGCACAAACUCUGGUAUGUGCACACGUGUGUUGCAGGAGAGGGCAGAGCAGGCCGGGCACCGGGGUCCCACGCUGUGGACGUUAAGCUCUGUAAGGCGGCAUCUGUGCCUUCCUCAAGCACUGGCCUCGCCUCUGCCCUGCACAUGGUCAUGGUGGCACCGUAGAAGCCUCUAGUCAGAGCAGAGACUGGCGGGCUUAGGGCUAAGGAAGGGCGGGUGCCUGGCUCAGGUCAGCAGUCAUUCAACAAACGCUUGGUGAGAAUAUGUGAUGAUCUGUGGAGGGUGUGUGAGGGGGU